UUGCCUACGGGGGGCAGCAGUGAGGAAUAUUGGUCAAUGGGCGGAAGCCUGAACCAGCCAAGUCGCGUGAGGGAAUAAGGCCCUACGGGUCGUAAACCUCUUUUGCCGGGGAGCAAGGGCCGGGACGCGUCCCGGCCCGGAGAGUACCCGGAGAAAAAGCAUCGGCUAACUCCGUGCCAGCAGCCGCGGUAAUACGGAGGAUGGGAGCGUUAUCCGGAUUUAUUGGGUUUAAAGGGUGUGAAGGCGGGGUUUUAAGUAAGCGGUAAAAAU
This 270-nucleotide ribosomal RNA is filed under the name uncultured bacterium. Its description in RNAcentral is "partial 16S ribosomal RNA". It matches the Rfam family "Bacterial small subunit ribosomal RNA", at positions 335 to 601 of the family's 1533-position model. The record is from RNAcentral.